Molecule: ribosomal RNA, 730 nt
Filed under: Salmonella enterica subsp. enterica serovar Infantis
Lineage: Bacteria; Pseudomonadati; Pseudomonadota; Gammaproteobacteria; Enterobacterales; Enterobacteriaceae
Also listed under: 1 other name
Description: bacterial SSU rRNA
Rfam family: Bacterial small subunit ribosomal RNA
Source: RNAcentral
AAAUUGAAGAGUUUGAUCAUGGCUCAGAUUGAACGCUGGCGGCAGGCCUAACACAUGCAAGUCGAACGGUAACAGGAAGCAGCUUGCUGCUUCGCUGACGAGUGGCGGACGGGUGAGUAAUGUCUGGGAAACUGCCUGAUGGAGGGGGAUAACUACUGGAAACGGUGGCUAAUACCGCAUAACGUCGCAAGACCAAAGAGGGGGACCUUCGGGCCUCUUGCCAUCAGAUGUGCCCAGAUGGGAUUAGCUUGUUGGUGAGGUAACGGCUCACCAAGGCGACGAUCCCUAGCUGGUCUGAGAGGAUGACCAGCCACACUGGAACUGAGACACGGUCCAGACUCCUACGGGAGGCAGCAGUGGGGAAUAUUGCACAAUGGGCGCAAGCCUGAUGCAGCCAUGCCGCGUGUAUGAAGAAGGCCUUCGGGUUGUAAAGUACUUUCAGCGGGGAGGAAGGUGUUGCGGUUAAUAACCGCAGCAAUUGACGUUACCCGCAGAAGAAGCACCGGCUAACUCCGUGCCAGCAGCCGCGGUAAUACGGAGGGUGCAAGCGUUAAUCGGAAUUACUGGGCGUAAAGCGCACGCAGGCGGUCUGUCAAGUCGGAUGUGAAAUCCCCGGGCUCAACCUGGGAACUGCAUUCGAAACUGGCAGGCUUGAGUCUUGUAGAGGGGGGUAGAAUUCCAGGUGUAGCGGUGAAAUGCGUAGAGAUCUGGAGGAAUACCGGUGGCGAAG